CGGCGGCGGCUUCGGCGCCUCCUCCUCCUCCUCCUCCGCCGCCGACGCAGCUGCAGCCCUCGCCCCUCGGGAUCGACGACGGGGCCUUCGAGAAGGAGCUCCUAGGGCUCACGGGAGGGUUCCCGGGGGGCGAGAAGGGCCUAAGGCGGUUCAUCGAGGAGAACCCUCCUCCGCGAAAGGGGGCUGGGGACGACGAGGAAGCGCUUGUGGGGAUCGCGCCGGGGACGAAGGGUCCGAAGCCGCGGGCGCCGGAGCUUCCGCUGUUCCUGCCGGGGAUGAUCGUGAUCGUGAAGAAUCCGAAGAACCCCUUCUACAUGUACUGCGGGAUCGUGCAGAGGGUUACGGAUGGGAAAGUGGGGGUUUUGUUUGAGGGAGGGAACUGGGACAGGCUCAUCACUUUCCGCCUCGACGAGCUCGAGCGGAGGGACAAAGGCCCGCCGAUGGUCAAUCCCAAGUCGGCCGUCCUCGAAUCCAUCGUCACCAAGUCGGCGUGACGUCGAUCCCCACUGGUAUAUCUCAUUGCUUGUUUGAAUUAGAUCUGUAUAGUGUAUGUUAAUUGUUUCAAUUCUAUCUAUUAUGUCUCUUGUGAUGAUCAAUGCAUCAGAAUUAUCUUGAUAAUUGCAUGCUUCUGUGUGGAAUGUUACUCUUCGUUACAGGUUAAGUUGUAAAUUGUACAGCUUUUUCCUUUUGGUAAUGCAUUUAUGUUGCAUCCUUCGUAUUUUGACGUAAUUGAUAAGAGUAUUGCAUAUUAUCGAGAUUGAUCUGCUGGUUGUUUCUUUGGAGUGAUAGGAAACGCGAAGAAUUGUAUGUUAUGCUUGAUAAUAAAUUGUCGACAACACUAGCUAUAUCUCCCAAGUUGGAAAUAAUUGUUUUACGUCUACCGUGUCUCUUUUAUUUGACAUGAUUUGCAUUCCGAAGGCUAUUGGAAUUCGAUAUAUAUUUGUGCCUAUUGGGAUGUAUGAAAACAUGGCAAAUGCUUUAGUUGGUAAGAGAGAAUAUUAUUACACUAAGCAAAGCUAGAUUGGUCGAGUUCACUGAUUGGGUGCAUCUAUAAGAUCCUUUGCCCCAACAAGCUUAAAUGUUGAUCCUAUUUACAGGUGUCAAUUAGAAGAAAUCUCUCCCUAGUCAUCUUUGAUGUUGUGGGACCGACAAAACAAGACCAAUUAUCCUAUUUACAAAUUACAAGCGUCAAUAAGAAGAAAUUUCAUAGUUAUUUUUGAUAUUAUGGGACCAACAAAACAAUACCAAUUCUGAUAGCACAAUUGUGUGUGCGCGCGCACGCGGGCGACUAGUACCUAAUUGCAAAGAACAUAUGCUAGCAUUUAGUAAAUGCAAAGGAUAUUUGCUCAAGUUGUGUGUGUGUGCGACUAGUACAUCGUAAAUGCAAAGGACGUUUCCUGGUACAUAGUAAAUGCAAAGGACAGUUGCAUAAAUUGAUAAUAAAGCAAACUAUAGGAGUUGGAAUCUUUGGAGGAUGUUGUGGAGCAUUUUCAUUAUUCUGACAGGUAAAAAAGAAAAGAAAAAAAACAUAAAAAAGAAGAAAGUGAAAUCAGGUAGGGCAUUAGGGUGGGCAUUGUGGAAGAAGAGCUCAUCACCACUGCUGCAGAUUCUUGUCAAAAGUUGCCCAAGGAAUAAAAGGAGAAAAUAUGUGUAUCAGGUACACUACAUUCUCAUUUUAGCAGAGGAUACAAGAUUAUAUUAUUACAGAUAAUAGUGCUGGGUCUUAAUGAUGCUUAGUGUGGGCAACGUACAAUGUGAUUUGGAGUAAAGCCCCCAUCUUCAGUAAAGCAUGAUUAUAAUGGUUGGUGGAGGGCAUGGUCCAAGAAAUUGCUUCUUGUUGAAGUGAUAGUGCUUUUAGUGGGAAAUAGCCGAGGAGGAGAAGAAGAAGCUGGAUUUCUCUCUCAAGGGUCCCUAUCUCAACUAAUGCUAAUCUAUGUGGAAAAUUUAACAGUUACCAUUUGUUGUUGUGGUGAGAAAUUUAACAGUUAGGUUUUGGGUCGGUCAAAAUAGGUGGCACAGAAGCUCCCUAGUGAUCAUAUGUUUUGCAGUACUACUGAGGAGUAUUCUCUGAAGGCAGAAAAGAAAAAAUCAUUAUCAUUACUAUUAUGAUGGAAUGAUCGAAUGAAGAUAAUCAUUAUUAUUACAAGAAAGUAAUAUUUCAUGCCCCUCUUCUCUUUGGCCAUGGACCAACAUACAAGACGAAGCAAUACAUGUAAAUAGAAUAAAGAUAAAUGAAAAAAAUAAAGUCUAUGCAGUGAUAAAAUCAGCUUUCCUUUGGGGCGAGGCGGGACUUGAUCUUCUCCACCUCCUUGGUGCCGACCUGGAAGGCCUUUGUGAGCACGUUGUCGGGCACCGGCGGCGUGGAAGUGAAGAGGGUGAUGGCGAUGGACUGCGUGCCGGGCAACUGGCUGUUGAAGGCAGAGAUGACCGCGGCAGGCACGUCGCCAUUGUUCUUCUGGAAGUGGACGAGGCCGCGUGGGAACACAAAAAUCUCGCCUUUAGUGAUGGUCUUGGCGAUGAGCUUGUUGGCGGUGGUGAUGAAGCCCACGUCGAGGGUGCCAUCCAGGACGAACACCAUCUCGGUGGCACGCGGGUGGGUGUGAGGAGGGUUCAACCCACCGGGAGCGUAGUCGAUGCGGGAUAGGGAGACUCCCAAGGUGUUGAGACCUGGGAUCUUCUCCACAUUAGCUGCGGUGACCACUGAACCCUCGGUGUUGUUGGUGGCACCCGGGGCGGCCAGCCCCUUGAAGAAGAAGUCGUCCUCCGUCACGUUGUCCUUGCACACAAAUCCGUUCACCUUUACAGCUGCAGAUCAAUUGAGUAUUCGCUAAUCAUUAGUAUUCGAGUUAACAUUAAAGAUCGUUUUUCUCUUUUGUUUUUUUUGCUAAACACGUCUGCAUAAGAUGGAUGGUUUUGGCAGACCGAGUUAGAGAUUAUCUAACUCACUUAAAGUAGAAGAAAAUGAAAAGUUAAAUAUGAGACUUGUAAGAGUAGAUUGAGCUUACUAGAUUUGAGAUCGGCGACGCAGAUAUCCUGGAGCAUAUCGGGAUCGGCGGCGAGCGAGGGGACAAUGAGAAGAGAAAAGAUGAAGGGGAAUAUGAUAAGGAGAAGAGAAGAAGAAGAGUUGGCCAUGGGUGCUUCUUGUUUCCUUUUUCCCCUUUGCUUGAUGCUGUUGCUAAUGUUGUGUUUUGGCUUUUGCUUAAGAAACUUGACUCUCUUUUGCUCUAUUUAGUGGUGGGAUGAAGAGAAGGGAAAGAGGAGGCAUGGGAUUUUAUAGUAGACAAAUUGGGUGUUGGUGGGGUUGGGAUUUGCUGGGUUUGGAUUGGAGAGAGAGAGAGAGAGAGAGAGAGAGAGAGAGAGAGAGAGAGAGAGAGAGAGAGAGAGAGAGAGAUGUGGGAGUGAAGGCAUGAAAAAAUGGUCCUUACAACCCAAGAAACCUGUUUGGAAGGAAUAAACAAACUAACUAAUUGGGGAGGCUAAGUUUGCAUUUAAUGUAGAUGUAUAAUGACAAUGAUGAUAAGAAAGAUGUGGUUUUCUAAUCGUUGAUUAGGAUUAAUUUCUACCUUGUACAGACUGAUAAGACAGAUGAAGGCGCGUAUCCGCGAGGUUUUGAAUAUUAUAUGGUCUGUUUCUUUCAUUUCAUUUUGCGUCUCCACUUCUCCGCAUUCUUUAAAGAUCGUAAGCAAUGCUUUGUUUUCAAUUUCUGACUAUUAAUGAAAAAAGUUAGUGCUUCAAGGUUCGCUGGUUCGACUAGUGUUUUACUAGUGUUCUACUACGGGAACCGGAGAUCCCAAUAUGACAUCAUAAAUUAUAAUAUAUCAAUUCAAUUGUACAUAUCACGAAGCAAUAAAAAAUAUGAUUCUGUUUUAUUAAAAAUUGGUAGAAUAAGAGUGAGCUAAUAUUUAAACAAAAACGGGAGUAAUGCGAUAUUGAUUUUUCAAACCUGUUCUAUUAGUAUUGUUCGAUCAGUUUGACGGCACCUUUCAAAGUCUUACAAUUCUAUGAGUGGACUCGGACUGUCUUGAGCACUGGUUUAUUGUCCAGCCAGUUCAAUCGACCGGUUCGAACCGAUUUUUCAAACAUUAAUGGUAAGUUAUUUCCGUAAGGUCUCAUUAUUACCGAUUUUACGAACAUUAAUGGUAAGUUAUUUUCGUAAGGUCUCAUUAUUACCGAUUUUACGAACAUUGAUGGUAAGUUAUUUCUGUAGGGUCUCAUUGUUUAGUCAGCUGAGCAGUCAACAAUCAGCAUGAGCUUUCUUGGAUGGUGAAUAGUAGUAUCAGUAGGUUCAUCUACUACUGUUAGAGGAUUCUUCUUUGCAUGGUUAGCAUAGUAGUGACAACUGACAAGAACUUUUGGUUUUCGCUCGCAAAAGUCCGCGCGGCACUCGCUUCCUUUCGCAAAUUGAGCAAGUCUAUCUCUACUCGCAGUAUACGAGAGAGAAACUUUUGGAAAAAUUUGAGUUGUAUUACUUGAGGGUCAUCCCAGGAUGUGAAAUCAUAUGCCAAAACAAACAACUACGAACUCCCAAUGGACUACGUCUAGCUUUUGCGGAUGCUUCUAGAAAGAUCUAGCAAAACCUCCAAACCAAUGCUCCCUUGAAGUUUAGGGAUUAUUGUAAAGGGAUGGGUGGGUGAAAAAUUCCUAGUCCUUCACAACAGGCUCACUAACCAUCUAAUAAAAAGAGAACAGUGAUGACACAACAGGCUCACUAACCAUCUAAUAAAAAGAGAACAGUUAUCGAGACUGACACAUCGAGUGGAGAAAAGAAACUUCACGGAACUUUGACACAUCUCUUUGUGGUAUGCUGUUAUAUUCCCAUGGGAGACAAGUUCCUUAUCUUACCAAACCAUCUUAAAUAGAAAACAGAAAAAAGUAACAAUCCCCAAUUAAAAUUUCAAAACAUAAUAUAAUUAAUACUUUACACUAUAUACUUGUAAUACUUGGCUUUGGAGACCAACCUGAACUUAGAAGUUACUGCACAAAUCUUACUUCUGGGAGCACCAACAAACCUGAUAGAAACCUACAUACUUUUGUAUAUGAUAUUUUCUCGAUUUUCAGUUCGAUUGAUUAGGGUCACAAUGAAAGAGCCAUAAAUUUGAAAGUUUGUUUAUUUGUUUCUUUCUUCUUUUUUUUUUUGGAAUGGUAAUGCUUUUUCGGUGAUGGUUUCUACGAUCAUUUUAAUGCAUCAAAGCAGAAAAACUCUUUUUCCGUGACACUUUUGCUAAUGGCCUUUUAUAGUGUUUGGUAAAGAAAAUGUGCUCCCGCAGUGAAAAAUAGAAAUGAAAUUUUAGGUCUACAAAACUAAAAGCUCCAAUUCAAUGUGUCUGAACCACAAUAGAAAGAAUCUAUUUAGUUUAUUAGAAAUAAAAGUGUAAAUCUCAUAUCUCAUGUAUCCUAGUGACCACAAAACUUUUUGAAUUUUUAAUUUUUUUUCCUAAAAUGAUGAGACAGGUAAAAAAAUAAGCGCCCUUGGAUGCUUGGACUGUAAUAUCUAUUUAAGUUUUUGCCAACCGAAAGAUAUCUAUUGUGAAUCUAUAUUUUAAUUCAAAAUUUGUUUAAUUUCUUUUUAUCUCUAAAAUAGAAAUAAAUUCAUACUUAUCCAAAUUUUUGCCAGAAUAUCAAUAUGCUCUAUCCAUCUAUUUUACAUUAAAUUUAACUUUGAGUUUAAAUCGUGAAUUAAAUUUAAUUUUUGAUUUUGAAUAUCAAAUCUAUCAAUCUAUUUUAUAUUAAAAUUUAAAAUUGAUAUUAUAGGUAUUUUUUAAUAAAAUAUAACAUAUAAAUUUAUAAAAUAUUUUAUUCUAAAUUUUUGAAUAAAUAUAAUUUACAAAUUUUUAUUAAUUUAAAAUAAAUUAAAAUAAUUGUUACGUACAUUUGCACGUACGCUCAACUAGUAUACAGUAAAGGCUCAAAACGUAUGAUUCGAUUCUUAUCAUCUUUCGGGUCGGGCCAUUAUCUAAUGGGCGGGUCCAAUCCGUUUACAUUUUAAGUAAACCUGGCCCAAGUUCUCGCCCACCAUACACCACGGUACGUGCUAAGCACAUGAUGCGCAAUUUGUGGUAUUCAUCGUCCUCGUCGCGUACUACAUCUGACACUGUCUUUUUCCCGCUGCUCCUCCGCAAGCGUCUCGAAUGGCGUCGUCCUCCUCCUCUAUCCCCUCCACUCGAUCCAAAACCCUCUCCUCUCCCUCCUUCGUGGCAGAGCCACGAAACCCUCCCCACCCCACCAUCUCCUCUUCCUUCCCCCAUCGCCAUCUCUCCGCCCCACCCCACCAUCUCCUCUCCCUUCCCUCAUCGCUAUCUCUCCGCCUCUCCGCCAAGCUCCGCCUCUCCGAGAUCAUGGGCGGCCAUGGCCUCUGCAAUGGCGAAGAGGGCCUCCUCAAGGAGCUCACCCGCCCAGCGGAGGCGGCGGCGGCGGCGGCGCCUUCUCCUCCUCCGCCGCCGACGCAGCUACAACCCUCGCCCCUCGGGAUCGACGACGGGGCCUUCGAGAAGGAGUUCCUAGGGCUCACGGGAGGGUUCCCGGGGGGCGAGAAGGGCCUAAGGCGGUUCAUCGAGGAGAACCCUCCUCCGCGAAAGGGGGCUGGGGACGAGGAAGCGCUUGUGGGGAUCGCGCCGGGGACGAAGG
Molecule: long non-coding RNA, 6624 nt
Filed under: Ananas comosus (pineapple)
Lineage: Eukaryota; Viridiplantae; Streptophyta; Magnoliopsida; Poales; Bromeliaceae
Description: long non-coding RNA (ACOM_LNC021816)
Source: RNAcentral